AUUGAACGCUGGCGGCAGGCUUAACACAUGCAAGUCGAGCGGAGAGAGGUAGCUUGCUACUGAUCUUAGCGGCGGACGGGUGAGUAAUGCUUAGGAAUCUGCCUAUUAGUGGGGGACAACAUUUCGAAAGGAAUGCUAAUACCGCAUACGUCCUACGGGAGAAAGCAGGGGAUCUUCGGACCUUGCGCUAAUAGAUGAGCCUAAGUCGGAUUAGCUAGUUGGUGGGGUAAAGGCCUACCAAGGCGACGAUCUGUAGCGGGUCUGAGAGGAUGAUCCGCCACACUGGGACUGAAACACGGCCCAGACUCCUACGGGAGGCAGCAGUGGGGAAUAUUGGACAACGGGCGCAAGCCUGAUCCAGCCAUGCCGCGUGUGUGAAGAAGGCCUUAUGGUUGUAAAGCACUUUAAGCGAGGAGGAGGCUACUUUAGAUAAUACCUAGAGAUAGUGGACGUUACUCGCAGAAUAAGCACCGGCUAACUCUGUGCCAGCAGCCGCCGUAA
RNAcentral lists this ribosomal RNA (501 nucleotides) under uncultured bacterium. RNAcentral describes it as "partial 16S ribosomal RNA". It matches the Rfam family "Bacterial small subunit ribosomal RNA", at positions 30 to 523 of the family's 1533-position model. The record is from RNAcentral.